CUGGUGUUCUCAGCGAACUGUCAAACUUUUAACAACGGAUCUCUUGGCUCCAGCAUCGAUGAAGAACGCAGCGAACGCGAUAUGUAAUGUGAAUUGCAGAAUUCAGUGAAUCAUCGAAUCUUUGAACGCACAUGGCGCCUUCCAGUAUCCUGGGAGGCAUGCCUGUCCGAGCGUCGUUUCAACCCUCGAGCCCUGUGGCCCGGCGUUGGGAUCUGCCACGGCAGGCCCUAAAACCAGUGGCGGACCGAAGGGCCCUCUCCUUUGCGCAGUAGCAUUCGCCUCGCAUCGGAGUCCUCGGCGUCCUGCCUCUAAACCCCCACAAGCCCGCUUCGGCGGCACCAAGGUUGACCUCGGAUCAGGUAGGAAUACCCGCUGAACUUAA
This 382-nucleotide ribosomal RNA is filed under the name uncultured fungus. Its description in RNAcentral is "eukaryotic LSU rRNA". The stretch from base 24 to 176 matches the Rfam family "5.8S ribosomal RNA". Lineage: Eukaryota; Fungi. The record is from RNAcentral.